RNAcentral lists this transfer RNA (67 nucleotides) under Thenus orientalis. RNAcentral's name for it is "tRNA-Ser". Lineage: Eukaryota; Metazoa; Arthropoda; Malacostraca; Decapoda; Scyllaridae. The record is from RNAcentral.
GAGAAAUCAAGUAGUAAAAGAGGCUUCUAACUUAUUUUUAAAGCGGUUAAACUCCGUUUAUUUCUCU